CAGCAGCCGCGGUAAUACGAAGGGGGCUAGCGUUGCUCGGAAUGACUUGGCGUAAAGGGCGCGUAGGCGGAUUGUUUAGUUAGGCGUGAAAUUCCUGGGCUUAACCUGGGGACUGCGCUUAAUACAGGCAGUCUAGAGUGAGGAAGAGGGUUGUGGAAUUCCCAGUGUAGAGGUGAAAUUCGUAGAUAUUGGGAAGAACACCGGUGGCGAAGGCGGCAACCUGGUCCUUGACUGACGCUGAGGCGCGAAAGCGUGGGGAGCAAACAGGAUUAGAUACCCGUGUAGUCCCUGUCUCUUAUAC
RNAcentral lists this ribosomal RNA (301 nucleotides) under uncultured bacterium. RNAcentral's name for it is "partial 16S ribosomal RNA". It matches the Rfam family "Bacterial small subunit ribosomal RNA", at positions 509 to 807 of the family's 1533-position model. The record is from RNAcentral.